Molecule: non-coding RNA, 258 nt
Organism: Notechis scutatus (mainland tiger snake)
Lineage: Eukaryota; Metazoa; Chordata; Lepidosauria; Squamata; Elapidae
Source: RefSeq, a predicted model, not a curated record
AUGUGAAUUUCUUCAAAGGGAGAAGUCCAGAGAUGAAAUUAAACAGUAUAUUCAAAGUUAUUGCGGAUUUUUUGACAUCACGGGGAAGCAUUUUGCAGCAUCUGUCAGGAAAUAUUUACCUUCUGACCCAGAGGAUCUAGAACCCUUUCUGAACAUCUAUAAGGAUGAAGAGAUUCGGCUGGAAUCCUUCAAAACGUGGCCAAAAGAUGCACAUGCUGACCCAGCAAUUCUGGCUAAAGUAGGUUUCUUCUAUACAGG